CGGGAGAUCGGAUCAACACAUCAAGCCACACUAUCUAGUUUAAUCCGGUAGUUUUUGAAAUGUAAAUUUUGGUUUAUAUGGCAUGUAUAGGGUUGGUUUAGAAAUGAAAUAGUUUGAAUUGUGGUUGUGAAUCUUAAAUGUUUGUAUGUGUGUAAUUAGUAGUAGAAUUUGAUAAUGAGUUAAAUGGGUAAGUAUAAGUAAUUGAUGUAUAUGUAAUGUUAUAUUAUGUUUAGAACAUGUAUUGGUUGGUUUUGAUUACUUGGUUAGGAUAUACUAGUAUAUUUAAAUGUUGUGUGUAAGUUGAUGUCAAAAAAGAGUGAGAAAAGUGGCCUUAAAAUGGCCUAAUUUCGUCCACACGGGUAGAGACAUAGGCGUGUGUCUAGCCAUGUGUGACACACAACCAUGCACAUGGGCGUGUAGUUUGGUCGUAUCUCCC
This 436-nucleotide long non-coding RNA is filed under the name Gossypium barbadense (sea-island cotton). RNAcentral describes it as "long non-coding RNA (GBAR_LNC020792)". The record is from RNAcentral. Lineage: Eukaryota; Viridiplantae; Streptophyta; Magnoliopsida; Malvales; Malvaceae.